AGCGUUAAUCGGAUUUACUGGGCGUAAAGCGUGCGCAGGCGGUUCGGAAAGAAAGAUGUGAAAUCCCAGGGCUCAACCUUGGAACUGCAUUUUUAACUACCGGACUAGAGUAUGUCAGAGGGAGGUGGAAUUCCACGUGUAGCAGUGAAAUGCGUAGAUAUGUGGAGGAACACCGAUGGCGAAGGCAGCCUCCUGGGAUAAUACUGACGCUCAUGCACGAAAGCGUGGGGAGCAAACAGGAUUAGAUACCCUGGUAGUCCACGCCCUAAACGAUGUCAACUAGCUGUUGGGGCCUUCGGGCCUUGGUAGCGCAGCUAACGCGUGAAGUUGACCGCCUGGGGAGUACGGU
This 349-nucleotide ribosomal RNA is filed under the name uncultured Alcaligenaceae bacterium. RNAcentral describes it as "bacterial SSU rRNA". It matches the Rfam family "Bacterial small subunit ribosomal RNA", at positions 537 to 886 of the family's 1533-position model. The record is from RNAcentral. Lineage: Bacteria; Pseudomonadati; Pseudomonadota; Betaproteobacteria; Burkholderiales; Alcaligenaceae.